UGGGGAAGUUGGAAGGUGGGGUUCUGCUGGAUAUGUGUUCCUGUGAGGCAUCCACUCCCAAAGCCAACUCAGCAGCAGAAGGAGAUCCGGUGGCACCCAGCUCUCCGGGAGGAAUCCUGCUCCUUCCAGUAGGCGCCUGCAGGACCCAGGAACACUACAUCAACACUCUUGCCCUGGAUCUGGACACAGAAGACUCCUGUUUCAAGAAAAUACAAUGAUCUCUGAAAGUCUAUAAUUUAUAUUCAUUUAACUCACUAGGUAUUGAAAACCACCCAAUUGUCUCACAGAAUGGAGUAAAAUAUCAUCGAUCACUCAGUGUAAUAUUAUACAUCCUCUAAAAAUGUUAUUGGAAAAUGUUUUAUGAUCUGUACGUCGAAAUAACCCUCUCCUACCAUUUCUCCCUGCUGCUCUCCCAAACCCAUGCUUCUUUGUUCCAAUUGGCAAGUAAACUUGUUUUUCCCGCCAAAUGAGUCAGUCAUAAUGGGAACGUCAAUUGAUUUGAACAGAUGUGUGUCAAUGUGACUUGGAAAACUAGAUGCCAGUAACCAGGGCCACAAAAAAAGGCAGUGGUUGCGACUCUGUAAAAAUUUAUGUGUGCAUAUAGACAAGGACUAAAGUGGCCCAAACAAAACAGGAAAACAGUUGGAUAUACUCCAGUGCUGGGAGACUGAAUGACUGUAUGCUGCUUUCCAUUUCCGUUCAUAUGGGCAACUGUCCAAUUAAAAAAAAAACCUAAUAAGGACUCUGCAGUGCAAAUUAUUUUGUGGAUUGUUUUAAAACGCCAUACCUGUCAAC
Artibeus jamaicensis (Jamaican fruit-eating bat) is the source of this 795-nucleotide long non-coding RNA. RefSeq lists it as uncharacterized. The record is from RefSeq and is a predicted model, not a curated record. The transcript is spliced from 3 exons. Lineage: Eukaryota; Metazoa; Chordata; Mammalia; Chiroptera; Phyllostomidae.